This 239-nucleotide ribosomal RNA is filed under the name Photorhabdus luminescens. RNAcentral's name for it is "partial 16S ribosomal RNA". It matches the Rfam family "Bacterial small subunit ribosomal RNA", at positions 1 to 235 of the family's 1533-position model. The record is from RNAcentral. Lineage: Bacteria; Pseudomonadati; Pseudomonadota; Gammaproteobacteria; Enterobacterales; Morganellaceae.
AAUUGAAGAGUUUGAUCAUGGCUCAGAUUGAACGCUGGCGGCAGGCCUAACACAUGCAAGUCGGGCGGUAACAGGAAAGCGCUUGCGCUUUUGCUGACGAGCGGCGGACGGGUGAGUAAUGUCUGGGGAUCUGCCCGAGGGCGGGGGAUAACCACUGGAAACGGUGGCUAAUACCGCAUAAUGUCGCAAGACCAAAGUGGGGGACCUGAAAGGGCCUCACGCCGUCGGAUGAACCCAGA